CAUUUGAUUUAUUCUUUGAUUCUGUGAUCCUGGCAGAGCUGGGCCUCCUCCUUCAGGAGGUGAGAUGCUUUUGUUUACCUUCUUCAUCACAACAUCGAGAGCUCUGGAGAUGUGAGAAGUCAGCUGUUAUUAAUAAAAUCCUAGUUAACAUAAAAUCACUGGACAGUUUAGCUUGGGAGCAACCUCUGAGUGUCACCAUCUCCAGGUAGAAAGAGGUUCAACUUUUGUUCCAUCAGCACUAACACUUUACGUCCUAUUUCAAACCUUGCAUUCACAAAUUGUAACCUGUAAUACAAAAAAAGUAAACCAGUGGCUUUUUUCCCUGCAGAAAGGUCACAAGCAUUUUGUGGAGCCCACAGAGGGAUUCCUGCGUGUGCUGAGCCUGGUUUCCUGCAGGGCUGUUCCCCAGCGUGGGAAGAUCCACAAGGUUUGAUUAAAAGUUUUCCCCUAUUUCA
Molecule: long non-coding RNA, 455 nt
Organism: Pipra filicauda (Wire-tailed manakin)
Lineage: Eukaryota; Metazoa; Chordata; Aves; Passeriformes; Pipridae
Exons: 2
Source: RefSeq, a predicted model, not a curated record